This 449-nucleotide ribosomal RNA is filed under the name uncultured organism. RNAcentral describes it as "partial 16S ribosomal RNA". It matches the Rfam family "Bacterial small subunit ribosomal RNA", at positions 332 to 797 of the family's 1533-position model. The record is from RNAcentral.
UACACUCCUACGGGAGGCAGCAGUGGGGAAUAUUGGACAAUGGGCGCAAGCCUGAUCCAGCCAUGCCGCGUGAGUGAUGAAGGCCCUAGGGUUGUAAAGCUCUUUCACCGGUGAAGAUAAUGACGGUAACCGGAGAAGAAGCCCCGGCUAACUUCGUGCCAGCAGCCGCGGUAAUACGAAGGGGGCUAGCGUUGUUCGGAUUUACUGGGCGUAAAGCGCACGUAGGCGGACUAUUAAGUCAGGGGUGAAAUCCCGGGGCUCAACCCCGGAACUGCCUUUGAUACUGGUAGUCUUGAGUUCGAAAGAGGUGAGUGGAAUCCCGAGUGUAGAGGUGAAAUUCGUAGAUAUUCGGAGGAACACCAGUGGCGAAGGCGGCUCACUGGCUCGAUACUGACGCUGAGGUGCGAAAGCGUGGGGAGCAAACAGGAUUAGAUACCCCUGUAGUCCCA